CCUCCUUUCUAAGGACGCCGGAGAUGCUUUAUGCUUAUCUCCGGAUAGUCAAAGUCGAAACAGACUCUCUUCUCUUCUCUCCCUUUUCUCCUGUAAAUGCUAAGUUAUGAAUUUAGAGCAACGAAGGAAUUAAAUUCGUUACUGUGGACUCCUAAUUUCAAGAGGGGCCUGUAGCUCAGCUUGGUUAGAGCGCAUCCCUGAUAAGGAUGAGGCCGGUGGUUCAAGUCCACCCAGGCCCACCAGUUUCAGUGGGGGAUUAGCUCAGCUGGUAAAGCGCCUGCUUUGCAAGCAGGAGGUCAGCGGUUCGACCCCGCUAUCCUCCACCAAAUUAAUGAACAGUAAAAAAGGUGGNG
This 353-nucleotide unclassified non-coding RNA is filed under the name uncultured delta proteobacterium. Its description in RNAcentral is "partial 16S-23S ribosomal RNA intergenic spacer". The stretch from base 165 to 239 matches the Rfam family "tRNA". Lineage: Bacteria; Deltaproteobacteria. The record is from RNAcentral.